AUAAGAGCCUGGAGCCAAGGACUUCUCUGCAUGCCCACCCAGUUUUGGUUUUCGCCACAGCAUAUGCCUGCCCCUGUGCCUGGUGUUUGCUUGUUCUCGGUUUCUGCCCUGGAGUGGAGCUCUGGGGGAAGCAGGCAUCGUCUGUUCAGCUCCCGCCUGCAUCCAGAUCGCACCCCGACACAGCAACACAGCAUGGGCCCACAGCAUUCUCUUCCUCGUGGGUAACAAGCACACUGAAGACAGAUGUCCCAACACUGGAGCAUCACUUGUGACAGCCACAAUAUGGGAACAGCCCCGUCCAUCACCUGAUGAGGGAAGGACAACACUGUCCAUCUGCACAAGGGAUCACGACUCAAACAAGGGGAGAAAGGAAAUGAAAGUCUUGACUCCUGCUAGAGUGUGGACGGCCCUUGAGAAAGAAGCCAGACGCAGAGGACCACGUGUGCUGUGAUCCCGUUUGUGUGAUAUGCCCAGAACAGACAAGUGUGUCGAGGUGGAAAGUAGGUCUGUGUUUUCCAGGGGAGUGACGGCUAAUGGGGAUGCGAUUUCUUUUAGAGGAAAAAGAAGAAGGAAAAAGAACUCCACUCAGGAGUCCCCCUCGCAAUUUACUUUUAUUUCUCCAAAAGUUGUUUCCGUGUCUGACUCCCGCCGAGAGAUGACCAAGCCUUCUGGCCUUUUCC
Mustela lutreola (European mink) is the source of this 680-nucleotide long non-coding RNA. RefSeq lists it as uncharacterized. Lineage: Eukaryota; Metazoa; Chordata; Mammalia; Carnivora; Mustelidae. The record is from RefSeq and is a predicted model, not a curated record. The transcript is spliced from 3 exons.